RNAcentral lists this transfer RNA (72 nucleotides) under Dipodomys ordii (Ord's kangaroo rat). It matches the Rfam family "tRNA". From Rfam's summary of the family: Transfer RNA (tRNA) molecules are approximately 80 nucleotides in length. Their secondary structure includes four short double-helical elements and three loops (D, anti-codon, and T loops). Further hydrogen bonds mediate the characteristic L-shaped molecular structure. tRNAs have two regions of fundamental functional importance: the anti-codon, which is responsible for specific mRNA codon recognition, and the 3' end, to which the tRNAs corresponding amino acid is attached (by aminoacyl-tRNA synthetases). tRNAs cope with the degeneracy of the genetic code in two manners: having more than one tRNA (with a specific anti-codon) for a particular amino acid; and 'wobble' base-pairing, i.e. permitting non-standard base-pairing at the 3rd anti-codon position. Lineage: Eukaryota; Metazoa; Chordata; Mammalia; Rodentia; Heteromyidae. The record is from Rfam by way of RNAcentral.
GGAGACAUGGCUCAAUGGUAGAGUGCCUGCCUAGCAAGCAUGAGGCCCUGAGUACAACUUUUAGUACUACUA